GAUGAACGCUGGCGGCGUGCCUAAUACAUGCAAGUCGAGCGAACGGACGAGAAGCUUGCUUCUCUGAUGUUAGCGGCGGACGGGUGAGUAACACGUGGAUAACCUACCUAUAAGACUGGGAUAACUUCGGGAAACCGGAGCUAAUACCGGAUGAUAUUUUGUACCGCAUGGUUCAAAAGUGAAAGACGGUCUUGCUGUCACUUAUAGAUGGAUCCGCGCUGCAUUAGCUAGUUGGUAAGGUAACGGCUUACCAAGGCAACGAUGCAUAGCCGACCUGAGAGGGUGAUCGGCCACACUGGAACUGAGACACGGUCCAGACUCCUACGGGAGGCAGCAGUAGGGAAUCUUCCGCAAUGGGCGAAAGCCUGACGGAGCAACGCCGCGUGAGUGAUGAAGGUCUUCGGAUCGUAAAACUCUGUUAUUAGGGAAGAACAUAUGUGUAAGUAACUGUGCACAUCUUGACGGUACCUAAUCAGAAAGCCACGGCUAACUACGUG
RNAcentral lists this ribosomal RNA (497 nucleotides) under uncultured bacterium. RNAcentral describes it as "partial 16S ribosomal RNA". It matches the Rfam family "Bacterial small subunit ribosomal RNA", at positions 28 to 507 of the family's 1533-position model. The record is from RNAcentral.